ACCACAGGUGUUUUGGAUUUUGGAUUUUUUCAGAUUUGGGCAUAUUUGCAUUACACUGGUUGAGCAUCCCUACUCUGAAAAUCUAAAAUUUGGAAUUUCCUUUGAG
This 106-nucleotide microRNA precursor is filed under the name Chlorocebus sabaeus (green monkey). RNAcentral describes it as "miRNA (ENSCSAG00000027126.1)". The record is from RNAcentral. Lineage: Eukaryota; Metazoa; Chordata; Mammalia; Primates; Cercopithecidae.